Molecule: long non-coding RNA, 1341 nt
Filed under: Equus caballus (horse)
Lineage: Eukaryota; Metazoa; Chordata; Mammalia; Perissodactyla; Equidae
Description: lncRNA (ENSECAG00000037834.3)
Source: RNAcentral
GCCCCACGCUGGGCAGGGAAAACUUCGUUGCCUCAAAGAUCUUGCUCUGAAAGGCAUGGACGAUGCAGGCCAGGAGUCCUGGCAGAAGCCCCAGGGCCUGGUUGUCCAUCCUAGUCGUCGGUCGUUCCAGUUCUUCUACGUGAGGUGCUGGCACAGCAUGGCUACUGACAGACGGGCAGUGUGGUUCCGCGACUGGGAAGUGAACCUGGGCCGCCAUGGUGGAGUGUGCAGAACUUUAACUGCUGGGCCAUCAGGGCUGGCUCCGUUGCUUAAUUUUUAUUGAGCAUCUGCCAUGUGAUUUUUCUGCCCUAUGGAGCAUCUACUGGGGGAGAUGGAAAAAAUGGGGAAAUCAUAGCAUACAAACUGUUCUAAGUAGUACGUUGAGAUAGAGGAUAACAAGGGGAUGCUCUUUAGAGGGGGUGAAUGGGCAGGCAAGAUUUCUCGGAGUAAGUGAUACACAAGGAUGAGAGAUCUGAAUGGUGAGAAGAGUCAGCUGUGAGAGGGAAGAGAGACCCAGGCAGGGGGAAUAGCAGGGACGAAGGCCUGGAGGUGGGAAUGGGUUUGGUGUGUCCUUGGGGCUGGAAAGGGUCAGAGGAGCUUGGAGGUGGUGAGCGAGGAGGAGGAAGGCGCAGGAUGAACUGGAGAAGCAGGCGGGGGCUGGAUCACGCAGAGCCUCAUGGGCUGGGAUGCACAGAGUGGUUUAUUCUAAGAACAGUGGAAACCACCAGAAGGUUCCAAGCAGGAGAGUGAGUUGACCUGAUUUAUGUAAGGAGCAGCUCCCCCUGGCUGCUGUGUGGGGGUGGGUAGGAGAGGGGCAAGCAAGGAGGCCAGGAGGAUGUUGUAGUCAUCCAGGUGCGAGAUGGUGGUACCUGGGCUGCACGAUGGAGAGGGAGGGGGCUCCUGGGUCUGACAUAGUCUGGAUGUGGACCAGACAGAACUUGCUGAUGGACUGUAAGCAGGGGAUGAGGAAGAGGAAAGAAUAAAGGAUAGCUCCCUAAUGUCUGCCUCGAGUGUCAGUGGAUGACGAUGUUGCUUACUGAGAUGAUGAAGACCCAGAGUGGUGCUGGGGGGCAAUGCUGGACAACCGGCUUUUGCGGGGAGAAAACCCAGAGCUUAUUCUGGAAUGUGCUCCGUUAGAGACACCUGGGAGCCACGCGAGUGGAGAUCCUCAGAUCUGGAGUUCAGGGGAGAAGUCUGGGUUGCAGAUAUAAAUUUGGGAGUUGAUAGUGUAGACAUGGUAUUUAAAGCCAUGGGGCUUGAUGAGAUCAAGGAAGGAGAAAGUGUAGACAGAGAUGGGAGGGCAAGACAAGAGGGGAGAAGAGAAAGAGGAGUAGAGAAGAG